This 253-nucleotide ribosomal RNA is filed under the name uncultured bacterium. Its description in RNAcentral is "partial 16S ribosomal RNA". It matches the Rfam family "Bacterial small subunit ribosomal RNA", at positions 524 to 776 of the family's 1533-position model. The record is from RNAcentral.
UACGAAGGUCCCAAACGUUAUUCGGAAUUACUGGGCUUAAAGGGUGCGUAGGCGGCGUGGAAAGUUGGGUGUGAAAUCCCUCAGCUUAACUGAGGAACAGCGCCCAAAACUACCAUGCUCGAGGGAGAUAGAGGAAUGCGGAACUUAGGGUGGAGCGGUGAAAUGCGUUGAUAUCCUAGGGAACACCGGUGGCGAAAGCGGCAUUCUGGAUCUCUUCUGACGCUGAGGCACGAAAGCUAGGGUAGCAAACGGG